This 486-nucleotide long non-coding RNA is filed under the name Penaeus japonicus. RNAcentral describes it as "uncharacterized LOC122247965". The record is from RNAcentral. Lineage: Eukaryota; Metazoa; Arthropoda; Malacostraca; Decapoda; Penaeidae.
UAUCCCGAACACGCGAGCCCAGGAUGGGGAAGUCCUGGGUUGCCAAACAGUCCGUUGAGAGUAUAUAAAGCAAGGCCAUCGUGGCGGCGGCAGUGUCAGCUUUGCACUCGUACCUGCAACAUCUCAACAAUGGUUUCCCGCAGUGUGUUGGUCCUGCUGGUGGUGGUCGUCCUCGCGGCCGCAGCAGUGGCUCUCCCAGACCCCAAGAAGCGCCACUUAGGAUACGGAGGAUACGGCUUAUACGGAGGAUACGGCCUCGGAGGAUUUGGCUUAGGAGGCUAUGGGGGCUACGGAGGCUUUGGCCAUGGAUCUCACUAUCCGUAUUACGGCUCCUACUACGGAUAGAAACGAUGCUGAAGGAACAGAACAUCAUUCUACUGCCAAAGGACUCUCUAGGAUUUGAGGAGAGUGAAACGUUAAAGGCUACAGAAUUUAUAUAUUUUAAUGACCCGUGUAAAGUCAUCCAAAUAAAGUCGGAUUGUUUUA